This 253-nucleotide ribosomal RNA is filed under the name uncultured bacterium. Its description in RNAcentral is "partial 16S ribosomal RNA". It matches the Rfam family "Bacterial small subunit ribosomal RNA", at positions 524 to 776 of the family's 1533-position model. The record is from RNAcentral.
UACAGAGGGGGCGAGCGUUGUUCGGAAUUACUGGGCGUAAAGGGCGCGUAGGCGGCCCGCUAAGUCGAACGUGAAAUCCCCAGGCUCAACCUGGGAACUGCGUCCGAUACUGGCAGGCUUGAAUCCGGGAGAGGGAUGUGGAAUUCCAGGUGUAGCGGUGAAAUGCGUAGAUAUCGGGAGGAACACCAGUGGCGAAGGCGGCUUCCUGGCCCGUUCUUGACGCUGAGGCGCGAAAGCUAGGGGAGCAAACGGG